UAUUGCUUUGAGAUGGACCCGCGGCGCAUUAGCUAGUUGGUAAGGUAACGGCUUACCAAGGCAACGAUGCGUAGCCGACCUGAGAGGGUGAUCGGCCACAUUGGAACUGAGACACGGUCCAGACUCCUACGGGAGGCAGCAGUGGGGAAUAUUGCGCAAUGGGGGAAACCCUGACGCAGCAACGCCGCGUGGGUGAUGAAGGUCUUCGGAUUGUAAAGCCCUGUUUUCUGGGACGAUAAUGACGGUACCAGAGGAGGAAGCCACGGCUAACUAC
RNAcentral lists this ribosomal RNA (274 nucleotides) under uncultured bacterium. RNAcentral's name for it is "partial 16S ribosomal RNA". It matches the Rfam family "Bacterial small subunit ribosomal RNA", at positions 213 to 504 of the family's 1533-position model. The record is from RNAcentral.